This 383-nucleotide ribosomal RNA is filed under the name uncultured bacterium. Its description in RNAcentral is "bacterial SSU rRNA". It matches the Rfam family "Bacterial small subunit ribosomal RNA", at positions 524 to 906 of the family's 1533-position model. The record is from RNAcentral.
UACAGAGGGUGCGAGCGUUAAUCGGAAUUACUGGGCGUAAAGCGCACGUAGUCGGCUUGGUAUGUCGGGUGUGAAAUCCCCGGGCUCAACCUGGGAACUGCAUCCGAAACUGCCUUGCUAGAGUAUGGGAGAGGGAAGCGGAAUUUCCGGUGUAGCAGUGAAAUGCGUAGAUAUCGGAAGGAACAUCAGUGGCGAAGGCGGCUUCCUGGACCAAUACUGACGAUCAGGUGCGAAAGCGUGGGGAGCAAACAGGAUUAGAUACCCUGGUAGUCCACGCCCUAAACGAUGAGAACUAGAUGUCGGGAGGGUCUGCCUUCCGGUGUCGCAGCUAACGCGUUAAGUUCUCCGCCUGGGAAGUACGGCCGCAAGGUUGAAACUCAAAG